Molecule: ribosomal RNA, 253 nt
Filed under: uncultured bacterium
Lineage: Bacteria
Description: partial 16S ribosomal RNA
Rfam family: Bacterial small subunit ribosomal RNA
Source: RNAcentral
UACGUAGGGUGCGAGCGUUAAUCGGAAUUACUGGGCGUAAAGCGCGCGCAGGCGGUCUCGUAAGACCGGUGUGAAAUCCCCGGGCUCAACCUGGGAACUGCGCUUGUGACUGCGAGGCUGGAGUGCGGAAGAGGGAGGUGGAAUUCCACGUGUAGCAGUGAAAUGCGUAGAGAUGUGGAGGAACACCGAUGGCGAAGGCAGCCUCCUGGUCCAGCACUGACGCUCAUGCACGAAAGCGUGGGGAGCAAACAGG